Molecule: ribosomal RNA, 614 nt
Filed under: Ochthebius heydeni
Lineage: Eukaryota; Metazoa; Arthropoda; Insecta; Coleoptera; Hydraenidae
Description: partial 16S ribosomal RNA
Rfam family: Bacterial large subunit ribosomal RNA
Source: RNAcentral
GUCUUUUUGUUUAAAAUUUAAAGUCUAACCUGCCCAAUGAUUAUUUUAAUGGCUGCGGUAUUUUGACUGUACAAAGGUAGCAUAAUCAUUAGUUUUUUAAUUGAAAACUUGUAUGAAUGGUUGAACGAGAAAAUUACUGUCUCAAUUUAAAUUUAUUAGAAUUUUAUUUUUAAGUUAAAAAGCUUAAAUAAAAUUAAAAGACGAGAAGACCCUAUAGAGUUUAAUAUUUAUUUAAAAUUAAUUUUAAGAAUUUUUAAUUUUUAAAUAAAUAUUUUAUUGGGGUGAUAAAUAAAUUUAAUUAACUUUAUUAAAUUUAAAUCAUUAAUUUAUGAGUUAUUGAUCCAAUAUUUUUGAUUAAAAGAUUAAAUUACCUUAGGGAUAACAGCGUAAUUUUUUUUGAGAGUUCUUAUCGAAAAAAAAGAUUGCGACCUCGAUGUUGGAUUAAAAUUAAUUUUUGGUGUAGAAGCUAUAAUAUUAAGUCUGUUCGACUUUUAAUUUUUUACAUGAUCUGAGUUUAAAUCGGCGUGAGCCAGAUUGGUUUCUAUCUUUAUUAAAUUAAAAUAUUUUAGUACGAAAGGACCAAAUAUUGAUAAAAUUUAUUUUAUUUUGAAUUU